AAUAUGCUAAUGACCAAUCCUCUGCAGGCCCAACAUUACUCUGUGAUUUCCAAGCUCAUAGAACCGAUCUCCAGAGGGCAUCUCGAGGCAGUAAUGUCUAUCAAGUGUCGUUUGGGAGGCACAGCGCUAAUAAUGUUUUCUUCUGCUUAAUUUGCUGAAUGAAGCAGAAUCUGUCCAGUUUGCACCCCAGAGCUGCAAUUCCAGGCAUAAAGAACACAGGCAGGACGGUAAACAUUGAAUCCAGCUGGGCUAAGUCCUUUUGUAACAACAUUAAAAUAACAGGGCUUCUGGGCAGCAGGUAUAUUAGAGAAGAGACAUCUUGGAUCUCCAGCAAAGCCCUUAGGUGAGUGAAUGACAUCCUGUCUAAUUAAAUUCACUCACACACACCAGCACAUCAGUGUUUGCUGCCUAUAUUCUAGACGCCAGUGUUUUGAUGGCUUUCUUUUCCUCUCUGUUUUGAAAUAGAAGAUUCUAAACUUCUUGGUAAAGAAUUAGGAAAUUUAAAGAAAGGAAAGGAUAGGAAAGUAAAUAAGACCUUACCUUCGAGCCAGCUCUCCUGAAUGGAAUCCACAUCCAGUCUCAGAAACUGACUGGUUGUGUGACCCCAAAAAGAGUCAACUCGCUUUCCUGGGCUUCAAUACCUUCAGUGUAAAGUAAAACAGGAUAAGAAUUCUCACUAUAAAACUUUAGUAAUUGUGUAAAUCAACAAACUCCUUGCUAUCUAAACUCCCAGUGCCCUUUAUCUGAAAAUCAGGAACCAAGUUGAAUUGGGAAUUUAUCACUCCCCAGUUUUUCUGCCCAGUCUGAGUGUUUUGAUUUGAUGGUGAAAGCCCAGACCACACUGAGUGUUGGCCUUGCAUUUAAUCUAGCUCAUAUGGCAUAAUCUUUCUCCAAUUUCUACUUGACACAGGCUCUUGAAACUGUAACUUAGUUUUAAAAUAAGACUUCGCAUUUUAUUUAUACGUUCAUUUGUUUUUGUAGCAAUUUCUCUCUCUCUCUCUCUCUCUCUCUCUCUCUCUCUCUCUCUCUCUCUCUCUCUCUCUCUGACAUGUAGCCUAGGCUGGCCUGAAAUUCAUUGUGCAGUAAGGAAGAAUGAUCCUCCUACUGGGGUUGUAGGCCGGCAACAUCAUAUUCGACGUACGCAGAGCUGGGGUAGAGCCCAGGGCUUCUGGCAUGCUAGUCACGUGUGGUACUCACUGAACUACAGUCCCAGAGGAUCUUUCUUGGGAAAUAAAAGAAUGUGAAACUCAGGGCUUGUUGGUCUCAUUUCUGGGCCAUCUUUGCAGAAUCCUAAUUGUAGGGAGUAACUUCUGAGCUUCCAAUUCAAUCUUC
This 1332-nucleotide long non-coding RNA is filed under the name Mus musculus (house mouse). RNAcentral describes it as "long non-coding RNA chr12:35977743-35979075". The record is from RNAcentral. Lineage: Eukaryota; Metazoa; Chordata; Mammalia; Rodentia; Muridae.